UGGGCAGGGAGGCUUCAUAAAGACACAGUGCAGGCCUCAGAUCCCAAAUAACAAGAUACCAGCAAAUAUUGCCAAUUCCCAGCUGCCUGUGAAGAAGAUGAUGUUUGACCUUCUUGAACCGCUGCAGUCCAUGUGGUGAAGGUGCUCCCACAAUGCUGUUAGGUUCAUUGUCUCAAUUAUUUUCUUCCUUCCAAUCCCUGAGCUCCAUCUGACAGUGUAAUGUUGCUGAGAGGGGUUAGAUUGUGAUGCAAACCAACAGGAAGAGAAACUCAGAGGCUGGCGGACUGAGGGAGCAGCGAGUUCUGGAACAAAUCGCGGGCCUGGAGGGAUGGA
This is a long non-coding RNA of Carcharodon carcharias (great white shark), 333 nucleotides long. RefSeq lists it as uncharacterized. NCBI's taxonomy places the organism in Eukaryota, Metazoa, Chordata, Chondrichthyes, Lamniformes, Lamnidae. The transcript has 3 exons. The record is from RefSeq and is a predicted model, not a curated record.